Molecule: ribosomal RNA, 506 nt
Filed under: uncultured bacterium
Lineage: Bacteria
Description: partial 16S ribosomal RNA
Rfam family: Bacterial small subunit ribosomal RNA
Source: RNAcentral
AUUGAACGCUGGCGGCAGGCCUAACACAUGCAAGUCGAACGGUAACAGGAAGAAGCUUGCUUCUUUGCUGACGAGUGGCGGACGGGUGAGUAAUGUCUGGGAAACUGCCUGAUGGAGGGGGAUAACUACUGGAGACGGUAGCUAAUACCGCAUAACGUCGCAAGACCAAAGAGGGGGACCUUCGGGCCUCUUGCCAUCGGAUGUGCCCAGAGGGGAUUGGCUAGUUGGUGGGGUAACGGCCGCCCAAGGCGACGAUCCCUCGCUGGUCGGCCAGAAUUACCCGCCGCACUGGAACUGAGACACGGUCCAGACUCCUACGGGAGGCAGCAGUGGGGAAUAUUGCACAAUGGGCGCAAGCCUGAUGCAGCCAUGCAGCGUGUAUGAAGAAGGCCUUCGGGUUGUAAAGUACUUUCAGCGGGGAGGAAGGGAGUAAAGUUAAUACCUUUGCUCAUUGACGUUACCCGCAGAAGAAGCACCGGCUAACUCCGUGCCAGCAGCCGCCGUAA